UGGACACUGAUGCUACAGAUAUUACAUU
Molecule: non-coding RNA, 28 nt
Filed under: Mus musculus (house mouse)
Lineage: Eukaryota; Metazoa; Chordata; Mammalia; Rodentia; Muridae
Source: RNAcentral